GCCUGGGAGCUCCUCAGUGGUGAAACUCCUCCUCCUUCAAUCAGUGGUGAACCAGGUGGAACAAAUCUUCCAGGUAAUCUGAGCGUGCCAGUACCUGGCUCUGUUGUCUUUAGACCGCAGUCAAAGGAGCAUUUAAGGCACCACAAGACCAAGGAAACCAUCUUUGUCAUCAAGGUGACUGUGCAAGACCAAGCCUUCCACAAUACUGUGAAGGACAGCCGGUUUUUCACCUGUUUACUGCUAUCAAGGAAUGCAGUAGGAUGUGUUCGGCAAACUCUCGCACGGCUCCGUGACCCGCCUCUUUGUGGCAGAUGUAUUUGGCAUGGUUGAGCGCAACUGUUGGGG
Carassius auratus (goldfish) is the source of this 345-nucleotide long non-coding RNA. RefSeq lists it as uncharacterized. NCBI's taxonomy places the organism in Eukaryota, Metazoa, Chordata, Actinopteri, Cypriniformes, Cyprinidae. The record is from RefSeq and is a predicted model, not a curated record. The transcript is spliced from 3 exons.